Molecule: ribosomal RNA, 547 nt
Filed under: uncultured Glomus
Lineage: Eukaryota; Fungi; Glomeromycota; Glomeromycetes; Glomerales; Glomeraceae
Description: SSU rRNA
Rfam family: Eukaryotic small subunit ribosomal RNA
Source: RNAcentral
UGGAGGGCAAGUCUGGUGCCAGCAGCCGCGGUAAUUCCAGCUCCAAUAGCGUAUAUUAAAGUUGUUGCAGUUAAAAAGCUCGUAGUUGAAUUUCGGGAUCAAUAUGUCGGUCGUGCCUUCGGUACGUACUGGUAUCAUUGGUCUCUCCUUUCUGACGAACCAUGAUGUCAUUAAUUUGGUGUUAUGGGGAGUUAGGACUGUUACUUUGAAAAAUUAGAGUGUUUAAAGCAGGCUUUAGCUUGAAUACAUUAGCAUGGAAUAAUGAAAUAGGACGUUCGAACCUAUUUUGUUGGUUUCUAGGAUCAACGUAAUGAUUAAUAGGGAUAGUUGGGGGCAUUAGUAUUCAAUUGUCAGAGGUGAAAUUCUUGGAUUUAUUGAAGACUAACUACUGCGAAAGCAUUUGCCAAGGAUGUUUUCAUUAAUCAAGAACGAAAGUUAGGGGAUCGAAGACGAUCAGAUACCGUCGUAGUCUUAACCAUAAACUAUGCCGACUAGGGAUCGGAUGAUGUUAAUUUUUUAAUGACUCAUUCGGCGCCUUACGGGAAAC